AUUGAACGCUGGCGGCAGGCUUAACACAUGCAAGUCGAGCGGGGUGAUGGUGCUUGCACUAUCACUUAGCGGCGGACGGGUGAGUAAUGCUUAGGAAUCUGCCUAUUAGUGGGGGACAACAUCUCGAAAGGGAUGCUAAUACCGCAUACGUCCUACGGGAGAAAGCAGGGGAUCACUUGUGACCUUGCGCUAAUAGAUGAGCCUAAGUCGGAUUAGCUAGUUGGAGGGGUAAAGGCCUACCAAGGCGACGAUCUGUAGCGGGUCUGAGAGGAUGAUCAGCCACACUGGGGCUGAGACGCGGCCCAGACUCCUACGGGAGGCAGCAGUGGGGAAUAUUGGACAAUGGGGGGAACCCUGAUCCAGCCAUGCCGCGUGUGUGAAGAAGGCCUUAUGGUUGUAAAGCACUUUAAGCGAGGAGGAGGCUCUUUUGGUUAAUACCCAAGAUGAGUGGACGUUACUCGCAGAAUGAGCACCGGCUAACUCUGUGCCAGCCGCCGCCGUAA
RNAcentral lists this ribosomal RNA (503 nucleotides) under uncultured bacterium. RNAcentral describes it as "partial 16S ribosomal RNA". It matches the Rfam family "Bacterial small subunit ribosomal RNA", at positions 30 to 523 of the family's 1533-position model. The record is from RNAcentral.